RNAcentral lists this ribosomal RNA (460 nucleotides) under uncultured bacterium. RNAcentral's name for it is "partial 16S ribosomal RNA". It matches the Rfam family "Bacterial small subunit ribosomal RNA", at positions 338 to 795 of the family's 1533-position model. The record is from RNAcentral.
CCUACGGGGGACAGCAGUAAGGAAUAUUGGUCAAUGGUCGAGAGUCUGAACCAGCCAAGUAGCGUGAGGGAUGACUGCCCAAUGUGUUGUAAACUUCUUUUAUAAAGGAAUAAAACGAGGCACGUGUGCCUGUUUGCAUGUACUUUAUGAAUAAGGAUCGGCUAACUCCGUGCCAGCAGCCGCGGUAAUACGGAGGAUCCGAGCGUUAUCCGGAUUUAUUGGGUUUAAAGGGAGAGUAGGUGGGUUGUUAAGUCAGUGGUGAAAGUUUGCGGAUCAACCGUAAAAUUGCAAUUGAAACUGGCAGUCUUGAGUACAGUUGAGGUAGGCGGAAUUCGUGGUGUAGCGGUGAAAUGCUUAGAUAUCACGAAGAACCCCGAUUGCGAAGGCAGCUUACUAAACUGUGACUGACAUUGAUGCUCGAAAGUGUGGGUAUCAAACAGGAUUAGAUACCCUUGUAGUC